AUGGCCCUGCCAAUCCACUUCUUGUCGGUUCUGCCGCUGCCAACGUGGGCACUUAAGACAAUCAACAGGAGAUGCCGGGGUUUUAUUUGGAAAGGAGACGUUGAUAUUAGUGGUGGGCAUUGCCUGUUACUUUGGGCUAGGGUAUGCAUGCCUAAGGAAUGUGGGGGUCUGGGUGUCCUAAAUCUCAAAUGGUUCAGUCAGGCCCUACGCUAUAGGUGGCCAUGUGCGAGAUGGGAUGUCGAAGAAAGGUCGUGGCAUCAACUUUCAGAGGCUCAGGAGAAGGAGAUCUCACAUAUGUUUAAAGUGGCGACUUUAGUCUACUUAGGGGAUGGACUGAGGGCAAGANNNNNNNNNNNNNNNNNNNNNNNNNNNNNNNNNNGUAUUUGGAUCAGGGAUAUAUCAGGAGGGAUUUCGGUGCAGGCCAUGGCUCAAUAUCUCAAAAUUUGGGACAUCACUCAGCAGGUCUCCUUAUCCGUGGGUAUUCCUGGUCGCUUUGUUUGGAAGUGGACCAAGGAUCACAACUUCUCCGUUGGCAGUGCAUAUAACAUGUUCUUUGCUGCGAAUGUGCACUUUGCUUGCCACAAGCCAAUAUGGAAAUCCAAAGCACCCCCAAAAUGCAAAUUCUUUAUGUGGCUCGUUGUUCAUCGUAGGUGCUUGACCGCAGAUAAUUUGGAGAGGAGGGGUUGGCCUUCUAAUGGCAACUGUCCGUUGUGCAUCUCAACGCACGAAGACUGCACACAUCUUUUUGUGCAUUGUCGGUUCACUCAGCAGGUUUGGAGGAGGUUCAAGGACUGGACGAGAGCGUAUUUUCUUGUUCCGGAUGACAGUUAUGCCAAUACUGAGGUUUGGUGGCUGAGAACACGGAAGGAUGUCCCCAAGUCUGCCAGACGCAAUUUUGACACCAUUAUCAUUCUCAUCCACUGGAGGAUCCGGCAAGAAAAUAAUGUGAGAAGUUUUGAGCAUGUGGCAUGCAGCGUUGAAAGGGUGUUGGAUUUGAUUAGAGAAGACAUCGGGGCCUGGAGAGCAGCGGGUUGUAUCGGUGACCUUUUUUUAUUUCUUCUCUGCUUCUUCUUGUUUUGCCCUCAGCCCAGCUAG
RNAcentral lists this ribosomal RNA (1095 nucleotides) under Triticum aestivum (bread wheat). Its description in RNAcentral is "partial small subunit ribosomal RNA". The record is from RNAcentral. Lineage: Eukaryota; Viridiplantae; Streptophyta; Magnoliopsida; Poales; Poaceae.